AUGAGGUUCCGCCAUGAGGCGGCGGCAGAGGGGCGCACCCCCGCGUGGUUAGGGCCGCUGCUAGGUGCGGAGUUCUUCAAGCCGUGCGCUACUCACCCCUACCUAGUGAAGAAUGAGUGCAACCAUUACUGCCUCGACUGCGCGGGAGAGGAUGACGCCAUCUGCUGCACCCAGUGCGUCUCCGCCCAUCCCAGCCACCACAUCGUCCAGAUUCGAAAGUCGUCAUAUCACGAAGUGAUCCGAGUGCCAGAGCUGAAGGCGGUGGCGGACGUCUCGCAGGUGCAGACGUACGUCAUCAACUAUGACAGGGUGGUGUUCCUGAACUGGCGGCCAUAGGCGCCGCAGCACGGCGUCAAGUGCGUUGGCCCCGCCGGCGUGUGCCUGGAGUCCAGCCGUGGACUCGUCGAUGCCAACUUCCUCUUCUGCUCACUGAGCUGCAAGGUACAUGCACGCGUCUUACUGUCGCCUCUCUGGUGCGCUUAUUACCUUCCAUAUUUGUGCGUUUGCUGUGAGGGCACCACGUGUCUCGAUAAGAUCAAUUAA
Molecule: ribosomal RNA, 543 nt
Filed under: Triticum aestivum (bread wheat)
Lineage: Eukaryota; Viridiplantae; Streptophyta; Magnoliopsida; Poales; Poaceae
Description: partial small subunit ribosomal RNA
Source: RNAcentral